CGGCAGCAGCAGCAAGCCGAGAGGAGCGGUGGAGCCUCGCCGGCAAGACGGCCCUCGUCACCGGCGGAACCAAAGGAAUCGGGCGCGAUCGUGGAGGAGCUCGCGGGGUUCGGCGUCCGGGUGCACACCUGCGCCCGGAGCGACGGCGACGUGCAGGAGCGGCUGUGCGGAUGGGCCGCGGACACCGACGCGGGCCGCCUGAGCGCGCGCGUCACGGGCUCAACAUGCGACGUCUCCGUGCGCGGCAACCGGGAGGCGCUCAUGGCAACGGCCAGCGCCGAGCUGGGGGGCAAGCUGGACAUCCUUGUGAACAACGCCGGGCAGACCUUCUUCGGGGCGGCCACGGCGUGCACGGCGGAGGAGUACGCCCGUCUCAUGGCCACCAACCUCGAGUCGUGCUUCCACCUGGCGCAGCUGGCGCACCCGCUCCUCCUCGCCGGCAGCGGCGGCAACGUGGUGAACAUCUCAUCCAUUGGCGGGCUGCUCGGAUACCCGACGCUGUCGCUGUACUCGGCGACCAAGGCGGCCCUGAACCAGCUCACCCGUACCCUCGCCGUUGAGUGGGCAUGCGACGGCAUCCGGGUCAAUUGCGUCGCGCCGGGAGGAGUCCGGACGGACCUCCUCGACAGCAGCGGCAUUCAGAUCGACUCAGAUGCGGCAGGGAGGAUGUGGGAGGCGGAGAGCGCGCGCACCGCUUUGGGCCGCCUAGGCGAGCCAGAGGAGGUGGCGUCGCUCGUGGGGUUCCUCUGCAUGCCGGCUGCUUCCUACAUCACCGGGCAGGUCAUCUGCGUCGAUGGCGGCCGUACCGUAGCCGCCUAG
RNAcentral lists this ribosomal RNA (819 nucleotides) under Triticum aestivum (bread wheat). Its description in RNAcentral is "partial small subunit ribosomal RNA". Lineage: Eukaryota; Viridiplantae; Streptophyta; Magnoliopsida; Poales; Poaceae. The record is from RNAcentral.